RNAcentral lists this ribosomal RNA (932 nucleotides) under Escherichia coli. RNAcentral's name for it is "partial 23S ribosomal RNA". It matches the Rfam family "Bacterial large subunit ribosomal RNA", at positions 221 to 1191 of the family's 2925-position model. The record is from RNAcentral. Lineage: Bacteria; Pseudomonadati; Pseudomonadota; Gammaproteobacteria; Enterobacterales; Enterobacteriaceae.
GAAAUCAACCGAGAUUCCCCCAGUAGCGGCGAGCGAACGGGGAGCAGCCCAGAGCCUGAAUCAGUGUGUGUGUUAGUGGAAGCGUCUGGAAAGGCGUGCGAUACAGGGUGACAGCCCCGUACACAAAAAUGCACAUGCUGUGAGCUCGAUGAGUAGGGCGGGACACGUGGUAUCCUGUCUGAAUAUGGGGGGACCAUCCUCCAAGGCUAAAUACUCCUGACUGACCGAUAGUGAACCAGUACCGUGAGGGAAAGGCGAAAAGAACCCCGGCGAGGGGAGUGAAAAAGAACCUGAAACCGUGUACGUACAAGCAGUGGGAGCACAGAGCAAUCUGUGUGACUGCGUACCUUUUGUAUAAUGGGUCAGCGACUUAUAUUCUGUAGCAAGGUUAACCGAAUAGGGGAGCCGAAGGGAAACCGAGUCUUAACUGGGCGUUAAGUUGCAGGGUAUAGACCCGAAACCCGGUGAUCUAGCCAUGGGCAGGUUGAAGGUUGGGUAACACUAACUGGAGGACCGAACCGACUAAUGUUGAAAAAUUAGCGGAUGACUUGUGGCUGGGGGUGAAAGGCCAAUCAAACCGGGAGAUAGCUGGUUCUCCCCGAAAGCUAUUUAGGUAGCGCCUCGUGAAUUCAUCUCCGGGGGUAGAGCACUGUUUCGGCAAGGGGGUCAUCCCGACUUACCAACCCGAUGCAAACUGCGAAUACCGGAGAAUGUUAUCACGGGAGACACACGGCGGGUGCUAACGUCCGUCGUGAAGAGGGAAACAACCCAGACCGCCAGCUAAGGUCCCAAAGUCAUGGUUAAGUGGGAAACGAUGUGGGAAGGCCCAGACAGCCAGGAUGUUGGCUUAGAAGCAGCCAUCAUUUAAAGAAAGCGUAAUAGCUCACUGGUCGAGUCGGCCUGCGCGGAAGAUGUAACGGGGCUAAACCAUG